GCCUCGGCCUCCCAAAGUGCUGGGAUUACAGCCGUGAGCCACUGCACCCGGCCUAGAGUGAGGUUCUUAAGGAGACAGUUCCUUUGGUAGGAGAUGUAGAAUUUGUGGCACUCAGUGCAUGUAAAAACUCCUUCCCAAGAAGAAUGGAUAGGCCUGGAUUUAUCAUUGGGGUGAGCCAAAGGAAUGGCUCAGGAAGUGCCAAGCCCUGGCUCAGGUUGCUGUAGAGCUACUGUUUGUCUGCCCCAUUAACUCCCCAUGCAAGUUCAUUAGAAGCCAGGCCAUCAAGUAGCCACUGGAAUUGUGUGCCAUAAACCUCAUCUGGAAAGAAAAUGGAAGCUGUACAUUCCAACCCAUUUUGUGCACUACUGCAAGGGGGUCUAACCCCUGGAAGUGUUUGUGCACUUGUUUAAAACCAUCUCUUUGUUCUGUGAUCUACGGAGACUCACAUAUGACUAGUCCCUUCUGCUCCCAGGUCUAAGAGGUUUAGGAUGGAAUCCUUUGGGAGAUAACUGUAAAAAACUGAAGCACUUGAUGCUUGGCAUAAGCCUCUUCUGGGGAGAAACAAGGAGCUGCAUUUCUAUAGCCCCUUCUCUGCACUGCUUCCAGGGGAUAAAGCCCCUGGUAAUGCUUGCAUAUGAAACCACUACUUUUUUCUGUGGACUAGAGAGACUCAAAUAUGCUUAGAUCCCCUCUGUUACUAGAGCUAGAAGAUUUAGGAUGCAGUUCCUCAGAUGGAAACUGUAAACAUUGGGGUGCUUGUGUGGACAGUCUCCUUCCAGAAGGGAUUAAUAGACCUGGAGUUAUUGCUGGAGUGAACCAGGAAAGAAGGCUUGGGAAGUGCCAAUCUGCUUAUCAGGCUGCCGGCAGGCUUCUAUUUUGUCUGCCUCUUUAACUCCCUGAUGCAAGUUAGUUAAAAGCAAGGCUGUCAAGUAGCCACUGAAAGAGCGUGUCAUAAACCCCUUCUGGGGAGAAAGAGGGAUGCAUUUUUUAAGCCCCUUCUCUGCGUUCUUCCCGGGAGAUGCAGCCUCUAGCAGUGCUUGUGCAUCUAUAAAACUGCCAGUUUUCUCCUGUGGUCUAGAGAGACUUGUGUAUGCCUGAUUCCCUCUACUCUCAGAUUUGGUGGAUUAAGAAACCAACCGUAGAGAAGUUACAUGUUGGAGAUUCCUUUCCCAGUUUUAUAGCACAGUGCCCAGAAUGCUAUCCAUGCCUGAGUGUGGCUUGGCUUCUCCUACCCACUCAAUGUGGAUGUUUUCUCAGUUGCCCAGUGGGUGUCUCUCGACUGGUCCCUGAUUUUCUCUCAAAGGGAAUUGAUCUGUAAAUAGAUGUUGAUUUCAUGUAUCUGUGAGUGGAGGAGAGUCUGGAAAUUCCUAUUCCACCCUGUUGCUGACAUCAUUCCUUCCUGUAUAUCUAAUUGAUCACCAAGUUCGGUCAGCAGUACCCCUCUUAAAUCUCUUCCUCAUGUCUCCAUCUCCUUUGGUGUAAUUUGGAGCAUUAUCAUAUAUAUUUCCCCAACUCUGGUUCUUCCCCAUCACCAGUAAGUCCUCCCUCACCAUGGGGACACCUUGUUAAAGAGGAAACUCAGUCACAUUCCCUGGUCUGUUUAAAUCCCUUGAGCAUCCACCCCUUAGCCACUUCAACAGCUUUCCUACUGCCAUCCCUCCUUAUAACCCCCACUUCAGCCUAAACAUACCUUAUAACUACACUCAUGCUUCUAACUGGAUUACCACUUUCCCUCUACAACUACUCAUAUUUAAAGAUGCUGUUCAAAAGUCAGGUCAUCUGUAAUGUUUUAUUCUGUAAUACCCAGGCAAUUAGUUGCUGCUUCAUCCGUUUUUCUCUCAUAGUACAUUGCAUAUUUCCUUAUCAUAGUUUAUGCAAUUGUAUUGUAUCAUAUAACUGUUUAUUAAUGUAUAUGUCUUCUUCUAAGGCAGAAUUAUCUACUGCCACAUAGUAGAUGCUAAAUAAAUGUUUGCUCAAUGAAGACCUUUCUCACUUCUCCAGAUUUCUGUAGUGAGUUAGAGACUUAGGAAAGGCAGAGUCACCAGGGAUUUUGGCUGCCAGAAAAACUAGCUCUUCAUAUUAUCUGGCUUUACUUCUGCUCCCAUCCUCUGUACUAAAACUCUUCCUUCUUCUCGAUGUAGCUUCAUUCUUAGAAGUCUGUCCCUUGGCCAGGUGCAGUGGCAUUGUGGCAUUUAACCUGCCCUAGUUCCAUGCCCCACAUUCCAAGAAAUGCAAGAAACAAGAAAGUAUAGCCUAUAUGUGGGGGGAAAAUAUCAACAAAAAAUCGUCCCUGGGGUAGCUCAGACAUUAGACUUACUAGACAAAGACGUUAAAUCAGCUAUUUUAAGUAUG
This 2352-nucleotide long non-coding RNA is filed under the name Homo sapiens (human). RNAcentral's name for it is "HSALNT0358493". Lineage: Eukaryota; Metazoa; Chordata; Mammalia; Primates; Hominidae. The record is from RNAcentral.